This 418-nucleotide long non-coding RNA is filed under the name Trifolium pratense (red clover). Its description in RNAcentral is "long non-coding RNA (TPRA_LNC001217)". The record is from RNAcentral. Lineage: Eukaryota; Viridiplantae; Streptophyta; Magnoliopsida; Fabales; Fabaceae.
UUCAAAUUAGCAAAAGUGGCUUUUCUAAAAUGUUUUGGCCUAGAUUCUAUAUCUGAAUCAGAGAAUCCUUCAACCCAAAAGCAUAGGGGAAAAAAGAAGGAAAGUUGACAGUGAAAACUAAAAGCUAUAUAUGUCUGUUCAUUGUUAUGACAUGGAUAAAGAAAGUAUCUCAUCAUUUUUUGGCACAUUAAUUGGUUUCCGAAUGCAUGUUUAAUAUUAUGGUAGGUUGAUAAAAUUAUUGCGACUCACCGUGAUACCAAAUAUCUGCCGAAUAAUUUCGUUAAACAUAUAUUCGGCGGAUAUUUGGUAUCACGGUGAUUCGAUUUCCCACAGUUACCGCAUCCACACAAUAAUCGAUGGUGACCGUCCGAUUAAACAUAUAUGGCUGUGAUCAUAACCUUUAUUUUUUUGACAAAAG